Molecule: long non-coding RNA, 6182 nt
Filed under: Sus scrofa (pig)
Lineage: Eukaryota; Metazoa; Chordata; Mammalia; Artiodactyla; Suidae
Description: lncRNA (ENSSSCG00000054036.1)
Source: RNAcentral
AUUUCACCUAUUCACCAGGCCUCAUCAGUCCUUCUUGAUGAGAUCAUUAGAAUCCAGACGUUGUCUCCAGUAUAAUCACAAACUUAGCUUUUCGCCAUUUACCAAUGUGAUAAGCAUGUUUUUCUGUAUAUACUAUUUUAUUAUUUAUUUUUUUUAAUUACUCAAAUGAAUUUACCACAUCUGUAGUUGUAUAAUGAUCAUCACAAUCCAAUUUCACAGGAUUUCCAUCCUGCAGCCCAAGCACAUCCCCCCACCCCCAAACUGUCUCCUCUGGAGACCAUAACUUUUUCAAUGUCUGUGAGUCAGCAUCUGUUCUGCAAAGAAGUUCAGUCUGUCCUUUUUUCAGAUUCCACAUGUCAGUGAAAGCAUUUGAUGUUGGUGUCUCAGUGUAUGGCUGACUUCACUUAGCAUGAUAAUUUCUAGGUCCAUCCAUGUUGCUAAAAAUGCUGGUAUUUCGUUCCUUUUAAUGGCCGAGUAAUAUUCCAUUGUGUAUAUGUACCACAUCUUGAUCCACUCCUCCAUCGAUGGACAUUUAGGUUGUUUCCAUGUCUUGGCUAUUGUAAAUAGUGCUGCAGUGAACAUCGGAGUAAAUGCGACUUUGUGAGUCGUGGUUUUCUCUGGAUAGGUGCCCAGGAGUGGGAUUGCUGGAUCCAAUGGUAGUUCUAUGUUUAGUUUUCUGAGGCAUCUCCAUACUGCUUUCCACAGUGGUUGCACCAGUUUACACUAACCAUGAAAGAGCAGAAAGAGAAAUUAGGCAAGCAAUCCUGUUUACCAUCACAUCCAAAAGAAUAAAAUACCUAGGAGUAAACCUACCUAAAGAGACAAAAGACCUGUACUCUGAAAACUAUAAGACACUGAUGAAGGAAAUCAAAGUUGAUAAUCAUGAAAAUGUGGGAGUUCCCAUGGUGGCUCAGUGGUAACGAACCCAACUGUAACCAUGACGAUGCAGGUUCGAUCCGUGGCCUUGCUCAGUGGGUUAAGGAUCCAGUGUACCAUGAGCUGUGGUGUAGGUCGCAGACGUGGCUCAGAUCCCAUGUUGCUAUGGUUGUGGUGUAGGCCAGCAGCUGCAGUUCUGAUUUGACCCCAGCCUGGGGACCUCUGUAUGCCAUGGGUGCAGCCCUAAAAAGCAAAAAAAAAAAGGAAAUAGAUAUCUAAUAUUUAUUUCCAAAUACGACUGUUAGGUAACAAAAGCAACUUAACCAUAUUCAUUUAUAUUUAGUGUGUCUAUGCAUAACAGAAUUAACUGGAGCACAUGUCCCUAAAGAAGGUAAUGUCCAUUUAUUUUCUUUUCUAUUUCAGUCAAGGGUAGAGAUAUUAUUAAGUACUUAACCACAAAAUAAAUACUCCUUUUUCUUAAAAUGUACAUGAUCCUGGGAGUUCCCGUCGUGGCGUAGCAGAAACGAAUCUGACUAGGAACCAUGAGGUUGUAGGUUUGAUCCCUGGCCUUGCUCAGCGGGUUAAGGAUCUGGCGUUGCCAUGAGCUGUGGUGUAGGUCACAGAUGCAGCUCAGAUCUGGUGUGGCUGUGGCUGUGUCUGUGGCCAGCAUCAACAGCUCUGAUUUGACCCCUAGCCUGGGAAUCUCCAUAUGCCACGGGUGUGGCCCUAAAAAGACAAAGCCGUACACACACACACACACACACACACACACACACACACACACGAAAGUACACCAUCCUGAAAUUGUUCAUUCUUUUUCCUUGGGUUUCAAGGUCAUCUUCUCAAUAUUAUAUAAAAUUGCCUUCAGUUGCAAAGGAGUUCUUGUCAUCAGUUUUAUAGACUGACCCCUGUAGAAAGUAACAGGGGAUUUAAUGCAUAAAUGAGAACAAUAAAAGCUAGCAGUGGACCUAGUGGAGAGACUGUUCUGAUGGGCAGUUGAUAUUCUGUUUGGGGGCAUGUCUGUUUCACUGAUUCUCCUGUUUGCUCCCUAAGGGUGUCUUAAGCCCAUUAACAGAAGUUGACUGUUUAGAUGAUUUUUGCUUUUUACCCUAGAAUUUCUCCCAUUUAUGUUACCUAUCAAAGUACAUUAGCCUUACUGCUAAAUAUUAGGUCUUACACUGUGUAACCACGUACAGAUUGAUUGCUCAACCCCGGAACUCUCAAGCAUCUAGUUAGAUUUCUUUGGAAUUUGGUUUUUCAAGAGAUCACUUUCCUCCUCCUGUAGAGUGAGGAAAGUUUCCCAGAAACUGAGCCUCUCUACUACCACUGUGCUAAUAAAUACAUAAUUUCAGUGCAUUUUUCAGAUCAAAACUCCUCUCCACCAUUUAUAGGGGAAAAGGUGAUGGACUUAAUAAUUUGUCUGUCUCUUCCAUGCCCCAAAGACACUAUUUUGGGUUCUUAACCCCCUGAGAGGCAUUGGGAACUCCUAAAUGACUUUUUAGACAGAUAUUGCUGUUGAAAAGAGCAGAGGAGUAUUCUUUGGGCUUGCUCCACAUUCCGCCCUGUUAGACCUCAGACUCCUCUUACUAAUACCUACUGGGCCUUCCUUCUUUCAUCCCCCUGCAUUUCUCCCCGGCUUUUCCUCCUUCCAACCUGAGCCUGCACUGCAGAGGUCAUCUCCACACGCUCUGGGAGGUGAACAAUUGCAGGUGUGUCCCAGGCAUUGUCCAAAACCCAGAUCAGUGAUGCCUUGCACAUAUGCGCAAAUAAUAGAUGCGGGUGUACGUAGAGUUGCUUCUUGAACAAUGCAGGGGUGUUAGGGCCAGUGGCCUCCUUGCUGAGUACCACUAUCUCUGCCUCUGAAACAACGAAAUUGAUAAAUGACUCCCCCAAAGGCAGGAAGCUGAAAGUCUGGAUAGAAUCAGGACUCAAACCCUAGUUCUUUUUUAAAAUUUUUUUAUUGUAAUUGAUUCACAAUGUUCUGUCAAUUUCUGCUGUACAGCAAAGUGACCCAGUUAUACAUACACACACACACAAACAUACAUAUACAUAUAUACACAUUCUUUCCCUCAUGUUCCAUCACAAAUGGUUGAAUACAGUGCCCUGUGCUAUACAAUUGUGAUCUCUAGUCGAACAAAACUCACCCCCCCACUUAAUUAAAGAGCUGUAAAGUGAAAAUACAAGUACUGUUUUUAUUGAAAAAGAUCUGUGUAUAAGGUGUGAGCUCUGCAGUUGAAACCUGUGCUGUUCAAGAGUCAACUGAACAGCUGAUUUGAAAAGGAGCUAUGAGUUCAAUGUUCCUUGAAUUUAGGAUUAAAGAGAGCAAAGAAGGUUAGAAGAAUCUCUGCUUGACCCCCAUUGUUCCUAAUGCUGCAGGGCUUAAGAUCCUACAGGGUUCUCAAGAUGGGGAAACCUAAAAAUGAGGUAUUGCUAUAAUGAAUUAUCAUUUGGGAAAUAAUUGAAAUGAAAUUAAGCUCCACUAAUUUUUUUCCAGGUCAAAACUUGGUUGCAAUAGGUAAUAUCUUAAUAUUAUAUGUUUUUUUCACUUUUCCCACUUACCUUUAACAUUUGUAUUUUUCUUCCCUUUGGAUAGGAAAAGGUAGAAGCGAUGCUUGGUAGGUCUUACUGGCUGUAGGGAAGCAGAAUAUAAAAUAGGAUCCAUCAAAUUAUCUAUCCUUGAAAAAUGGAAUCUUAGAGUAAACUCAUCAAGAGAUGGUCUUGACUAUUAUAUUGAAAACAGGAGUCUUUAUUUUGCCUAAAUACAUACUAAGUUCUUCCAGGGAACCUGCUCAAGUUCAACUUAUGCCUUGAAAUAAGGUUGACAAUGUGGAUUGGAUGAGUCACAUGCUUCUCCAAGCCAAAAAAAAAUCUUCCUUUUUGGUGACAGAAUUUAAUAAAGUUUUUUUUUUUUUAAUAUAUGUGUAAUUCUUGCCUCAAUCCAUAACAAUUUCUUAAUAAGGAAAUAGAAAAUGAAAUGGCCAAUAAAUACUGGCUAAUUCCCUUUCAUGUUGACAGUCACAUCAAUUCCUAAGGUUAGUUUAUCUUUUGGAAGGUAGGAAGUCAGUGGGUACAGGAACAGAAAAUUCUGAAAGUAAAUUAAUCAGAGGAGAGUGAGAGAGCUUUGAGUCUUAAACCAGAGCUUAUAAAAAUUCUGGGAGAUAGUGCAUUGAGAGAAGUAAAUUGUUUGAUAAAUCUCUGUAAUAAUUGUGGUUUUAGAACAAGUUUUGUUAAUGAUUCAAAGACAAGAUAAUUUCCCUAUUAAAUUACAGAUAUUUAGCCAGAUACUGCUAAGUCAUGUGGUAUGAUAAACCCCAGACUGUGGAUUUCACAACCUGAUGAGUUGGCAUCAGCCUCUAUUUUCCCGUCAGACCUGGAGGCCUUCAGCUGAGUGCCCUCCUCCAGCCCUUAAAUCAGAUAAGGGUCCAUCUGGCCAUGUUGAUGCUUUAAGCAUCCUCCAUACCACUUUGACAUUUUGCUCAGUAUUUUUCUCAUCUCCUUUAUGGAUCAUGACACCUCUCGGCUUACUCUGGCAGUUCAGCAUCCUCCACUUUGUUUUCAAAGUGUACACCUAAAGUAACCUCUUUACCCUGCUCUCAGCAUUCUUUCCUCCCCUUGAAGUGAGAAUAAAUACAUCACCAUUACAGCCCUUGGCAACGUGUUAUUUCUGCUCUUGCUCGCCAGAGUCAAUGCUAGAAUCGCACGGUGGGAGCCUUGACAGCGCUCUUCACACUUGCUCUGUGCUGGGGAAAGCACCCAAAGGUGGCAUUCCCACUGCUCCUCUCCAGCCGUCUUCAUCCUCCUCUUGGUCACAUACCUUUCCUUGCAUCCUUGGGCUGUCAAGGAAGCCUUGCAUUAAAGACCAAAAAUAGUCCAGUUAUCUUCAUAGCACAUCCAACUUUUCUUUUCUUUUCUUUUUUUUCUUUUUUUUUUUUUUUUUUUUUUUUUUUUUUUUUUAAGGUCACACCUGUGUCAUAUGGAAGUUCCCAGGUUAAGGGGUUGAAUCAGAGCUACAGCUGCCAUCCUACGCGGGAUCUGAGCCAUGUGUGCAACCUACACCACAGCUCUCGGCAGCGCUGGAUCCUUAGCCCACUGAGCGAGACCAGGGACUGAACCUGCAUCCUCACUGAUACUAGUCUGAUUCUUAACCCGCUGAGCCACAGCAGGAACUCCACAUUCAACAUUUCGAAGAGGAUACAUUUUCAAUGAUUUAUGUAGUUUCACUAUUUAAAGCUUUUCAAGAGAGAAUGUUCGUGUAAUCCCAAAUACCUUUCAAUGCUUGAGUGUAAAAGACACUCAAAUCAUUGUAAAAUGAAAACCUUAGUUAAUGAUGAUGUGUGUGCGCGUGUAUACACACACGCGCAUGCUUUUGUCCUAAGCAUUCUAAGUUAAGUCCAAGUAAAUUUUAUGACACUUACUGGAAAAAAAUAUGAAUUCUUUCGAAGUAGCAGAACUUGUGUACAGAAGUCAGAUUUUUAUUGCUAGGAUUGCUUUUGACUAGGUAUUGCCACAGGGCUGGCCCGAAGAGCAAAGCAUCGAAUGGUUUGCUUGAGUAAUGCGGAAAGUCAGGGGUUCAGCUUGGAUUAGCUUCUGCUUGCUUGCUUGUUGUCUUGAGUUGGCAGAGUCCCCUGCGCUUUCUUCCAGUCUGUUUCUACCCAUGAAUCUUAAGGUAAAUUGCUGGAUGGCACAGUAAAAUCUAACCUUUCAUUCUUUUGCCAAAGCAACCCAGUAAGAGUGAUUGAUACUGAAUUUUCUCAGAGUCAGUUGAAAUUGUCUAGACAAAAAGUCUAUAGCAUUUUACAUGAAACCUGGUGGUCUUUGCAGUUUCUUUUUCUGUGGCAAAAAAUAAAAAAAUAAAUUUAUGCUUAAUUUGGGGAAAAGCUUGAUUUAUAUCACUUCAUUUGAGGUUUCAAAAGUUAACAUCGCUCACCCUUGGUUUUAGACCUGAAGCAUAUGGAAAUGAUUGAUAGGGAGUGGCCCAGACUUUAGGGUAGAUGAAACUGUGCUGGAAAGAUGCUGAGUUUCCUUGGUGAUACUGUGUUCAAAGCUGUCACUUUGUAGAACAGGGAAAGAAAUGGCCAUUCAUGAAGGAAUUCCCCUUGUGGCUUAGCUGUGUAAGAACCUGAAACUGUUUCCAUGAGGAUGCAAGUUUGAUCCCUGGCCUUGCUCAGUGCGUUAAGGAUCUGACGUUGCCAUGGCUGUGGCGUAGUCCAGCAGCUGCAGGUCUGAUUCCAUUCCUAGCCCAGGAACUUACACACACUACAGAUGCAGCAGUAGAAAGAAAAAAAAAAAGUCACUAAUGAGUUUAG